Molecule: non-coding RNA, 63 nt
Organism: Rattus norvegicus (Norway rat)
Lineage: Eukaryota; Metazoa; Chordata; Mammalia; Rodentia; Muridae
Source: Rfam
GGGGAUUUGGCUCAGUGGUAGAGCGCUUGCCUAGGAAGCGCAAGGUCCUGGGUUCAAUCCCCA